This 497-nucleotide ribosomal RNA is filed under the name uncultured bacterium. Its description in RNAcentral is "partial 16S ribosomal RNA". It matches the Rfam family "Bacterial small subunit ribosomal RNA", at positions 28 to 507 of the family's 1533-position model. The record is from RNAcentral.
GAUGAACGCUGGCGGCGUGCCUAAUACAUGCAAGUCGAGCGAACGGACGAGAAGCUUGCUUCUCUGAUGUUAGCGGCGGACGGGUGAGUAACACGUGGAUAACCUACCUAUAAGACUGGGAUAACUUCGGGAAACCGGAGCUAAUACCGGAUAAUAUUUUGAACCGCAUGGUUCAAAAGUGAAAGACGGUCUUGCUGUCACUUAUAGAUUGAUCCGCGCUGCAUUAGCUAGUUGGUAAGGUAACGGCUUACCAAGGCAACGAUGCAUAGCCGACCUGAGAGGGUGAUCGGCCACACUGGAACUGAGACACGGUCCAGACUCCUACGGGAGGCAGCAGUAGGGAAUCUUCCGCAAUGGGCGAAAGCCUGACGGAGCAACGCCGCGUGAGUGAUGAAGGUCUUCGGAUCGUAAAACUCUGUUAUUAGGGAAGAACAUAUGUGUAAGUAACUGUGAACAUCUUGACGGUACCUAAUCAGAAAGCCACGGCUAACUACGUG